UGUUCCCUCAGCCGCCACAACUGCCCACUCCAGAUUCCGGCGGCUAUCACCGGCGCGGUGCACACCGCCAAGCUCGCCUCUCUCUGCUCCAUCCUCCCCUCUGGCAAGAUUUUCCCUUCCCGGCCUCUACCUCUCGCCAAUAACCAACACCCGUGCUAGGGUUUCGGCCUCUGGCAUCACCUUCCUCGUCGGCGCAUCUCCGACGACUCUUCUCCAUUGCCUACAGUGCCCCCACGCGCGCCCUUGCUUCCCGAUGGCCCACCUCCAGUAGGGCAGCACGGAGGAUCUCCUCCCGCAGGAUCCACGGAUGCGGCACACCUUGUGGACGCCGGUCCCGGACAAGGGCGGGCACGGCGGCCUUGUCCUGCUCGACAACGGUGGCGGCGAACACCGGUGCUCCUCCUUUCGACCUCCAAGGGGGAGCGCCGGUACAACACAGGCACAAGCACGCCCAGCCCCUGAACCCCUGUUCUUCACCCAUCCAAUGGCGUACAUGAUGUGCUCCUCCUCGAUGCGACUGUUCCCAGCGAGCUCUCUUCGCCUGAGGAGGCGGAGCAGCAAGUCAAGCACCCCCUUGGCCUCCUAUCCUGUAGCGCGUGGACGACCUCACCGUCGGCUGCGUUUAUGCCCUCCUAGCAUGAUAUUGGUUAUGGGAGCAUUUUCAACAACAAAGACAUGCGUUUUGACAACAUUGGCGUGGACGGGUUGAUUUGCUGCUAUAAAUGUUGGAUGACCCCUGGUUGGUGUGUGGCAGCCGAACAAGAGUGGCCUCGCUUGAUGGGGGCGGUGCUGGCUGCAGAGUAGCAUAGUGUUCUCCGAGACAUGCUUGUAAAAUUAAUGUUUUUGGGUCUUCUUUUUUCGCUCCUGUACAGGUGUAUUUUUGGAUAUGUUGUGAUUUUCUUUUUCUAAUGACAUGAGCAUAUACUUUCACUCAAAUUUUUAUUGGUUCAAAA
Triticum aestivum (bread wheat) is the source of this 953-nucleotide long non-coding RNA. RefSeq lists it as uncharacterized. The transcript is spliced from 2 exons. NCBI's taxonomy places the organism in Eukaryota, Viridiplantae, Streptophyta, Magnoliopsida, Poales, Poaceae. The record is from RefSeq and is a predicted model, not a curated record.